Long non-coding RNA from Lutra lutra (Eurasian river otter), 3371 nucleotides. RefSeq lists it as uncharacterized. NCBI's taxonomy places the organism in Eukaryota, Metazoa, Chordata, Mammalia, Carnivora, Mustelidae. The record is from RefSeq and is a predicted model, not a curated record. The transcript is spliced from 4 exons.
GUCAGGGCCUGAGUGGUCCUGCUGUCAUUUCGCAGAUGGGGAGACAGACCUGGGAGGGAAGGGGAGUGGCCUGAUGUGACCAGUGGUAGCAAAGAAGCAGGGGCAUCUCUGCUGGGAAGGUUGGAAGAGAAGUAACAGUCCAGAAAAUGAUGGCAAGUGUAGCCGCCACGUGCAGGACACUGGCUUUGUGCCCAACACUGUGCCAACAACUUCUCCCUCCGAGGUCCAACUCAUCCUCAGAACAAUGCAGUGAGGUGUAGACGCUGACUUUAUGCCCAUUUUAUAGAUGGAGAAACUGAGGCUCAGAGAGAUUGUGCAACCUGCUUCAGAUCAUCUAGCUGGUGAACGGCAGAGACUGGACAGGAACAAAGAUCCUCCGAACUUGGAAACUUGAAAUUGGCUGGAGGUGGAUGGGGAGAAAGGCCUCAUUUUAAUCUGAAGUGAGUCAUCUUCCUCAUCUAUGGCAUGGGAAUAACAUGGCUAUGGGAGGCCCUGCCGAAGGGAUGGAUGCAGAGCAAUAAGCUUGAUGAGCCAACCGAGGACCGGAGAAGGGACAACCAGGCCGCAGUUUGAACUCAAAGUUCCUGCUCCCAGCACCCUCCCAUGAGCCCACUCUACUUGCUACAUAAUUUUUUGUUUCAUCCUCCUCUGGGUGCGGUUCAAUAAGCAGAAUACCCCCAGGGACACUGUGAACAGCCCCGGCAUCAUGUCAAGGCCUGGGCUCAGAUCUUCCCCUGUGACAGCAAGCGUAGAGGGAGACAGAUUGGAGUGCGGCCCACCCCAGGCUUCCUGACCCCGGGGGGCCCACAGCCCACCACCAGUGCACUGGGGCUUUCACUCAGGCACACCUUCUACUCAACUCCUCUUUGGAAAUAGUGUCCUGGGGACACUGACCUCCCUCUGCUGCCUCCAGCUUCUGGAAGGGGUAAAAUAUUCUGCCCUCUGGAGUUUGGGUGAGUUGACUCAGCAGUGCAGUCAGUUUGACAAGCAUUGGUUGAGGCCAACUAGGAGACAUGGUCUAUGCGAGGGGCCGAGGGUUGUCCCCGUGAAGAUGCUUUGGAGCCACCAGGCCAAUGCAGGGCAGAGGGCCGCCACCCCAGGUCACACAGCAAGCUCCUGGCAGGCAGGCCUGUGGGCAGGAGAUGCUCCCUCUGCCCAGCCAGAUGUUAGACUCCCUGGAGACUGCUCCCAACGGUCACACAGAACUGGCCAGAACCCACCCAGUCCCAUACCCUUGUCUGCAGGGGAGGAGGCUGAGGCCCAAAGAGAGAAGCCAGACAAUUCAGGUUGGUUACCUAGCACCAUGCGAAGUCCUCUACAGGCCCCCCUCACUUGUGUGGUAGGAACUCUCCCUACAUUGCACCUGAGGAAAUGGAGACUGGAAGAGUGACAAGAUUCACCUCAGAUCAUAGAGCUCAGACUGGCAGCCCUGGGAUUCAAACCCAGCACCUCAGUAAGCUUGUGCCUAGUCUGGGUGCUCUAAUCAGUGCAAUGCCACCGUGCACAGUCCUCCAUGGUCACUGAGGCAUUGGAAAUGCAGGUUGUUUGCUCUUGGCUCAAGCAACAUGAGAACAUUCAACAUUUGGGGUGGGGAAGCUUAUUUUAAAUAUAAGGAUCUGUCAAGAAGGGUGCAUCUAUUACUAACUCCUGACCUCUCCAGGGAUCCUGGCCAAGCUGGGGAUGCCAGCUGGGGGUGGAGCAGGUUUGGGUUCCUCUGCACUUGGGACUUGCUAUGGAGACAGAUUCUGGAGUAGGUCUCAUCCCAGAAUGAAAGGUGAGUGACUGAAGAGUUAUUUGACUGCACAAAGAGCCAGUGAGGUUUCUCCUGUGCUCUCAGAGCACUCAGAAAGGGCAUUUUCCCCUUAGGAGACAAAGACAAGAAGCAGUGUAGGAAAGAAGGCUUUUUCUUCAUGCCGAAGCUCAUUGCUGGGAAGGGCCCUGUGGCCCCAGCACCCACCUCUCCAGUAAUAACAGCCAAGCUGCCUGCCAGCCUGUCCUUGGGGCCCUCACCUGUGACUGCCUCAAAGUCUAGGCCUCUAGCUUCCUGUGUUUGCCGAGUUUGGUGCACAAUCGGGGCUAACGAAGAGCUUGGAUUCAAGGUUGCUUGCUCUUCAUUGAAGAUGAUGGCCCCAGAGACCCAUGCUGGAGUUUGUUAAGGCCAAGAGUUAAUGGGAAGCUCCUGGAAGCUAAGGAGUGAUUUUGAGAAGGAUGUUGCCCUUUUGGAAAAUGAUGUAAAAUAUUCUUUCAGGCUAUUUAAGAAAUGUCACGAAUGCACUGAUGGCCCUUCCAGAAUCCACUUCAAACAAUUAUGAUAGCGUUAGGGGUUGAAUUAGGCUUUUCCUCUGAAAGGUACUUUGGAGUUCUAACCCUCAGGAACUGUGGACGUGACCUUAUUUGUAGACAGGAUCUUUACAGAGGCACGCUACUUAAGACGAGGUUGUCAGGGUGGGCUCUGAUCCAAUGGGACUGGUGUCGUUAUGAAAAGGGGAUAUCUGGAGGCACACACAAGCAUGGACGAUAACACCAAAGGUGGGGGGUCAGGGUAAUGUACGCACAAGCCAAGGUAAUGAAGAUUGUCCCUGAAGGAAGCACCAGAGCUGGGAACAGAUCCUCCCUCUUGGGGCUUGUUAGGAAACAACCCAGCUGACACUUGGUGACAAGUAUCUGUGUCUUCCAGCCAUGCAGCUGAUGCUUUGUUACAGCAGCCACAGUACACUGAUAUGGAUGGCGAACUGUCUGUUUCCAGUGCUUGUGCAGCGGAGAAUCUGAAAUGGUCCCAGCAGAAAGGGGCCUGGGGUCCUCACCCUCUGAGGCAACUAUUCCCACGGGAGACACUAGGAGAACAGAAACCCGCUGAGCGCCGUUGACAUCCUGGGCUCUGCUCAGCACAUCUGCUUUUCUCUCCCAUGUACUCUUUCCAAUAGGCUCAAAAUGGAGGGCUUCCCACUCCCUUUUUAAAGAAUAUAAAGCUGAGGUGGGAGAGUGUCUAAAUAACUGGCCCAGGAUCGCACUGCUAGGACCUGAUGCUAGCAGAGGUGGGCCGGGCAGCUGGGCUGUCAGCACUAUGCUACCUCCCCGGACCGGCCGCAUGUGCAGAGAGCUUACCUGAGUUAACAAGCUGAUACCAGGGGUCUGAGUGCAUGACCCCAGCUCUUUGCUCUGUCUCCUAUAUCUCAGGCUCUGGGGCUGUCUGGCCAGGGCAGGGCCUACAUUUUUCUCCAUUCUCUCAUUGGGGAAAACAGGAUGGAGGGAAACAUUCCAACUCCUUAAAAGGAUAAGGUGUUUAAGAAUCCUCUAGUCCUGGUGGCCCUGGAUGGCUCAGUCUGUUAAGUGUCUCCCUUUGGCUCAGGUCGUAAUUCUGGGGUUCUGGG